RNAcentral lists this transfer RNA (75 nucleotides) under Negativicutes bacterium. Its description in RNAcentral is "tRNA-Glu". It matches the Rfam family "tRNA". From Rfam's summary of the family: Transfer RNA (tRNA) molecules are approximately 80 nucleotides in length. Their secondary structure includes four short double-helical elements and three loops (D, anti-codon, and T loops). The record is from RNAcentral. Lineage: Bacteria; Bacillati; Bacillota; Negativicutes.
GGCCCGUUGGUCAAGCGGUCAAGACGUUGCCCUUUCACGGCGAAAUCAGGGGUUCGAUUCCCCUACGGGUCACCA